AUCAGAACAGCCACAUCAUUCUGUGUGGUCAGAUUUCUCAGUACAAUAAAGACGUGCCCUAUCCUCCUCCGCUGCCCCCUGCUGUAGAAGCAAUCCAGAAGGAAAGAAACAUCACAAGGUGUGUCCUCCCUUUGCCCUUCCCACCACGUUCACAGGGGCAGGGCUGGAGAGUUUCCUUACAUAGAUGGGAAAUGUAUUCAGUUACAGCUUUUUUCUUAUUAGGUAAAACUGAAAAGUCUGUACUUAAGGCGGCUCAAUAUUUAAAUUUUGGUUCCCUCAUUCUCAGACGACUAAUAGUUCAAGUUUUUGACUGGAUGAAAUCGUGUGAGCGUGGGGAAAGAAUGUUAUCCACAAAGGAGAAAUCACAAUGAUGUUGCCAAAUAGGUUAGAGAGAUAAGCAGACAGAAGCAGUCAAAGUUUAGUGCACUUACCCGCCUGUGCGUACAACUCAGGCAGAGUCUAUAAUGUACCUUAACUACACCUACAACUGUACCUGACCAGACUCUGCAUGAGUAUAUGCUAACUUAAAGACUAACAAAGGUACUGCCAUUUAAAUAUUUGACUUCAGGUUCUCUUGAAAUGUUCUCUAAUCAUUAUUCUUUUAUUGUCUAUUUACAGAGAGAGAUUUAUGGUAUUAAAUUAUAAAGAUAGAUUUGAGCCUGGAAUUCUACAGCUGAGUCAGUGGUUUAAAGAAGGAAAGCUAAAG
RNAcentral lists this long non-coding RNA (706 nucleotides) under Rattus norvegicus (Norway rat). Its description in RNAcentral is "long non-coding RNA NONRATT025216". The record is from RNAcentral. Lineage: Eukaryota; Metazoa; Chordata; Mammalia; Rodentia; Muridae.